UUUUUUUUUACUUUUUUUU
This 19-nucleotide small RNA is filed under the name Arabidopsis thaliana (thale cress). RNAcentral's name for it is "ATSL228960". Lineage: Eukaryota; Viridiplantae; Streptophyta; Magnoliopsida; Brassicales; Brassicaceae. The record is from RNAcentral.